RNAcentral lists this ribosomal RNA (362 nucleotides) under Lactobacillus sp. Its description in RNAcentral is "bacterial SSU rRNA". It matches the Rfam family "Bacterial small subunit ribosomal RNA", at positions 94 to 449 of the family's 1533-position model. The record is from RNAcentral. Lineage: Bacteria; Bacillati; Bacillota; Bacilli; Lactobacillales; Lactobacillaceae.
AGUGGCGGACGGGUGAGUAACACGUAGGUAACCUGCCCCGGAGCGGGGGAUAACAUUUGGAAACAGAUGCUAAUACCGCAUAACAACAAAAGCCACAUGGCUUUUGUUUGAAAGAUGGCUUUGGCUAUCACUCUGGGAUGGACCUGCGGUGCAUUAGCUAGUUGGUAAGGUAACGGCUUACCAAGGCGAUGAUGCAUAGCCGAGUUGAGAGACUGAUCGGCCACAAUGGAACUGAGACACGGUCCAUACUCCUACGGGAGGCAGCAGUAGGGAAUCUUCCACAAUGGGCGCAAGCCUGAUGGAGCAACACCGCGUGAGUGAAGAAGGGUUUCGGCUCGUAAAGCUCUGUUGUUGGAGAAGAA